UACGUAGGGCGCAAGCGUUAUCCGGAAUUAUUGGGCGUAAAGAGCUCGUAGGCGGUUUGUCGCGUCUGCUGUGAAAGACCGGGGCUCAACUCCGGUUCUGCAGUGGGUACGGGCAGACUAGAGUGCAGUAGGGGAGACUGGAAUUCCUGGUGUAGCGGUGAAAUGCGCAGAUAUCAGGAAGAACACCUAUGGCGAAGGCAGCUCUCUGGGACGGUACUGACGCUGAGACGCGAAAGCGUGGGGAGCGAACAGG
Molecule: ribosomal RNA, 253 nt
Filed under: uncultured bacterium
Lineage: Bacteria
Description: partial 16S ribosomal RNA
Rfam family: Bacterial small subunit ribosomal RNA
Source: RNAcentral